RNAcentral lists this long non-coding RNA (1209 nucleotides) under Prunus dulcis (almond). RNAcentral describes it as "sRNA ncRNA". The record is from RNAcentral. Lineage: Eukaryota; Viridiplantae; Streptophyta; Magnoliopsida; Rosales; Rosaceae.
AAGGCUCCCGAAGAAAUCAUAUACGAAAUCUUGGUAAGGUUAGCCGUCAAAUCUCUACUUGAGUGCACGGCAGUAUGCAAGUCAUGGAGUUGUAUGAUCAAAAGCCCUACCUUCAUCCACACCCAUCUGAACAACCGAUUAAUCGAAUCCAACCAUCGAAACAACGACGGAGUUCAACUCCUCCUUCACAAUCCUGAAUUUGAGCUUUACUCAUUGUACAGGGAUGACGACGACCCCCGUGCAUCAUCAUCUACGCUUAGGGAGUAUACCGAUCUUGACAAUCCAUACCAAGUUUACGCCGAACGCACCAGAAGCCGUACCUGGGGAUCCGAGUUUGUCGGAACUUGUAACGGGCUCGUGUGCCUUGCUGCUGAAGACAUUGACUUGACUACAUUAGUUUGGAACCCUAGCAUCAGAAAGUUUGUGGUUUUGCCCAAGUCUGGUGUUACCUUUUGUCAUGGAUAUGGUCGAGAAGCAAGAUGCGCCUUUGGCUACGACAGGCGUGCCAAUGACUAUAAGGUCUUACGAAGAGUGUCUUGUUUUCAAGAAGGCAAAUUUAUCUCAUGUCAAUAUGAGAUUUGGUCGUUAGCCAAGGGCUCUUGGAAGACUCUCAAUACUGGUAAUGAUCGUCAUCAUCAUGAACGUGACAUUGAACAACGGGACUUUGAUGCUGGUCAUCCGCCUGCUUUUGUCAAUGGUGCUCUGCAUUGGGUUCAAGUCAACGUGAACACCGGGAAUAUUUCCGUUGGGUCGUUUGAUAUGUCCGAUGAAGUAUUCAGCAAGAUAACCAUACCACCAGAAGCUGAAACACAAAAAUGUUUCGAUUCUGAUCCACAUUGCGUGGUGUCGAGGUACAGAGAGUCCCUUGCAUUUUUCGAAAGCUCUGAGGAGAGGAGAGAAAGUGUUGGUUGUGGUUGGCUUCUUCACAUGACCAUGUGGGUGAUGAAAGAGUAUGGUGUGGCCAAAUCAUGGGAUAAACUAUUUGCAAUAUGCCUGGAAGGGAGUAUUUGUAGACUGGUUGGUUGUAGAAAAAGUGGUGAUGAAGUUGUGCUCAAACUGAUUGUUGAUAACGUUCAAUAUCGGUCUGUGAACUCUAAGACCAAACAAGUUAAGAAUUUGCAAAUUAAAGGAUCGUGCCGUUACUCGGUCAUGGAUGCUUUUACUGAAAGCCUUGUCUUGCUUGACCAGCCUAAUGUAUUUACAUACUAA